UACGUAGGUCCCGAGCGUUGUCCGGAUUUAUUGGGCGUAAAGCGAGCGCAGGUGGUUUAAUAAGUCUGAUGUGAAAGCCCCCGGCUCAACCGGGGAGGGUCAUUGGAAACUGGAGAACUUGAGUGCAGAAGAGGAGAGUGGAAUUCCACGUGUAGCGGUGAAAUGCGUAGAUAUGUGGAGGAACACCAGUGGCGAAGGCGACUCUCUGGUCUGUAACUGACGCUGAGGCUCGAAAGCGUGGGGAGCAAACAGG
This 253-nucleotide ribosomal RNA is filed under the name uncultured microorganism. RNAcentral describes it as "partial 16S ribosomal RNA". It matches the Rfam family "Bacterial small subunit ribosomal RNA", at positions 524 to 776 of the family's 1533-position model. The record is from RNAcentral.